AUUGAACGCUGGCGGCAUGCCUUACACAUGCCAGUCGAACGGCGGCGCGGGAGCAAUCCUGGCGGCGAGUGGCGAACGGGUGAGUAAUACAUCGGAACGUGCCCAAUCGUGGGGGAUAACGCAGCGAAAGCUGUGCUAAUACCGCAUACGAUCUACGGAUGAAAGCAGGGGAUCGCAAGACCUUGCGCGAAUGGAGCGGCCGAUGGCAGAUUAGGUAGUUGGUGAGGUAAAGGCUCACCAAGCCUUCGAUCUGUAGCUGGUCUGAGAGGACGACCAGCCACACUGGGACUGAGACACGGCCCAGACUCCUACGGGAGGCAGCAGUGGGGAAUUUUGGACAAUGGGCGAAAGCCUGAUCCAGCCAUGCCGCGUGCAGGAUGAAGGCCUUCGGGUUGUAAACUGCUUUUGUACGGAACGAAACGGUCUUUUCUAAUAAAGAAGGCUAAUGACGGUACCGUAAGAAUAAGCACCGGCUAACUACGUG
This 484-nucleotide ribosomal RNA is filed under the name uncultured bacterium. RNAcentral describes it as "partial 16S ribosomal RNA". It matches the Rfam family "Bacterial small subunit ribosomal RNA", at positions 30 to 507 of the family's 1533-position model. The record is from RNAcentral.